This 468-nucleotide ribosomal RNA is filed under the name uncultured bacterium. Its description in RNAcentral is "partial 16S ribosomal RNA". It matches the Rfam family "Bacterial small subunit ribosomal RNA", at positions 28 to 507 of the family's 1533-position model. The record is from RNAcentral.
GACGAACGCUGGCGGCGUGCCUAACACAUGCAAGUCGAACGGAAAGGCCCUGCUUUUGCGGGGUGUUCGAGUGGCGAACGGGUGUGUAACACGUGAGUAUCCCGCCCUUGACUUUGGGAUAACUUCAGGAAACUGGGGCUAAUACCGGAUAGGAGCUCCUGCUGCAUGGUGGGGGUUGGAAAGUUUCGGCGGUUGGGGAUGGACGGGCGGCUUAGCAGCUUGUUGGUGGGGUAGUGGCUUACUAAGGCAUUGACGGGUAGCCGGCCUGAGAGGGUGACCGGGCACAUUGGGACUGAGGUAGGGCCCAGACGCCUACGGGGGGCAGCGGUGGGGAAUAUUGCACAAUGGGCCGAAGCCUGAUGCAACAACGCCGCGUGCGGGAUGACGGCCUUCGGGUUGUAAACCGCUUUCGCCUGUGACGAAGCGUGAGUGACGGUAAUGGGUAAAGAAGCACCGGCUAACUACGUG